CCUGCCCCUGGAGGCAUUUUAGGUGUGGCUGCUAUGUCAUUCGUGGGUCAGUAAAGGCCAGAGGCGAGAGAAAGUAUGUCUUUGCUCAGUGUCCUGACCUUUGAACAGCUCAGUGACCAGUAGCCUAACCUU
Meriones unguiculatus (Mongolian gerbil) is the source of this 132-nucleotide small nucleolar RNA. The record is from Ensembl. Lineage: Eukaryota; Metazoa; Chordata; Mammalia; Rodentia; Muridae.